Molecule: ribosomal RNA, 492 nt
Filed under: uncultured bacterium
Lineage: Bacteria
Description: partial 16S ribosomal RNA
Rfam family: Bacterial small subunit ribosomal RNA
Source: RNAcentral
AGUGAACGCUGGCGGUAGGCCUAACACGUGCAAGUCGAACGGCAGCACAGUAAGAGCUUGCUCUUACGGGUGGCGAGUGGCGGACGGGUGAGGAAUACAUCGGAAUCUACUUUUUCGUGGGGGAUAACGUAGGGAAACUUACGCUAAUACCGCAUACGACCUACGGGUGAAAGCAGGGGAUCUUCGGACCUUGCGCGAUUGAAUGAGCCGAUGUCGGAUUAGCUAGUUGGCGGGGUAAAGGCCCACCAAGGCGACGAUCCGUAGCUGGUCUGAGAGGAUGAUCGGCGACACUGGAGCUGAGACACGGUCCAGACUCCUACGGGAGGCAGCAGUGGGGAAUAUUGGACAAUGGGCGCAAGCCUGAUCCAGCCAUACCGCGUGGGUGAAGAAGGCCUUCGGGUUGUAAAGCCCUUUUGUUGGGAAAGAAGAGCAGCAGGUUAAUACCCCGCUGUUCUGACGGUACCCAAAGAAUAAGCACCGGCUAACUUCGUG